AAAGUCGACCAGACAGUCGCCGCGUGCUUGCACGGGGAGGAAAGUCCGGGCUCCGCAGGGCAGGAUGCCGGUUAACGACCGGGCGCCGUGAGGCGACGGAAAGUGGAACAGAGAGCUGAACCGCCGAUGGCCGGGAGUCUCACCGCAAGGUGCGGCUCCGCCGCGACAGGCCAGGAUACGCGCCCUUCAGGGCGUACGUCCUGCACCAGCGCUGGCUUGCCAGCACGCUGUCGCACGGCACAGGCAAGGGUGAAAAGGUGCGGUAAGAGCGCACCGCGGACGUGGCAACACGGACGGCAGGCUAAACCCCAUCCGGAGCAAGACCAAAUAGGGGUACAUUGGCGUGGCCCGCGCUGUACCCGGGUAGGUUGCUUGAGCCUGUCGGCAACGGCAGGCCUAGAGGAAUGACUGUCCAACGACAGAACCCGGCUUAUCGGUCGACUUUCCAC
RNAcentral lists this RNase P RNA (449 nucleotides) under Crenobacter intestini. RNAcentral's name for it is "Bacterial RNase P class A". It matches the Rfam family "Bacterial RNase P class A". Rfam says of the family: Ribonuclease P (RNase P) is a ubiquitous endoribonuclease, found in archaea, bacteria and eukarya as well as chloroplasts and mitochondria. Its best characterised activity is the generation of mature 5'-ends of tRNAs by cleaving the 5'-leader elements of precursor-tRNAs. The record is from Rfam by way of RNAcentral. Lineage: Bacteria; Pseudomonadati; Pseudomonadota; Betaproteobacteria; Neisseriales; Neisseriaceae.